Molecule: ribosomal RNA, 495 nt
Filed under: uncultured bacterium
Lineage: Bacteria
Description: partial 16S ribosomal RNA
Rfam family: Bacterial small subunit ribosomal RNA
Source: RNAcentral
AUGAACGCUGGCGGCGUGCCUAAUACAUGCAAGUCGAGCGAACAGACGAGGAGCUUGCUCCUCUGACGUUAGCGGCGGACGGGUGAGUAACACGUGGAUAACCUACCUAUAAGACUGGGAUAACUUCGGGAAACCGGAGCUAAUACCGGAUAAUAUAUUGAACCGCAUGGUUCAAUAGUGAAAGACGGUUUUGCUGUCACUUAUAGAUGGAUCCGCGCCGCAUUAGCUAGUUGGCAAGGUAACGGCUUACCAAGGCAACGAUGCGUAGCCGACCGAGAGGGUGAUCGGCCACACUGGAACUGAGACACGGUCCAGACUCCUACGGGAGGCAGCAGUAGGGAAUCUUCCGCAAUGGGCGAAAGCCUGACGGAGCAACGCCGCGUGAGUGAUGAAGGUCUUCGGAUCGUAAAACUCUGUUAUUAGGGAAGAACAAAUGUGUAAGUAACUAUGCACGUCUUGACGGUACCUAAUCAGAAAGCCACGGCUAACUACGUG